This 253-nucleotide ribosomal RNA is filed under the name uncultured Eubacteriales bacterium. Its description in RNAcentral is "uncultured Clostridiales bacterium partial 16S ribosomal RNA". It matches the Rfam family "Bacterial small subunit ribosomal RNA", at positions 524 to 776 of the family's 1533-position model. The record is from RNAcentral. Lineage: Bacteria; Bacillati; Bacillota; Clostridia; Eubacteriales.
UACGUAGGGGGCAAGCGUUAUCCGGAUUUACUGGGUGUAAAGGGAGCGUAGACGGCAGUGCAAGUCCGGAGUGAAAGCCCGGGGCUCAACCCUGGGACUGCUCUGGAAACUGUAAAGCUGGAGUGCGGGAGGGGCAGGCGGAAUUCCCGGUGUAGCGGUGAAAUGCGUAGAGAUCGGGAGGAACACCAGUGGCGAAGGCGGCCUGCUGGGCUUUAACUGACGCUGAAGCACGAAAGCGUGGGUAGCAAACAGG